CAAGUACUAAAUUUUUUACUUGAAUUAUUGACAUAAAAUAACUGCUUAUAAACCAAGAAGAAUUUUUUGCGUGGUAAAAAUCGCAUUAUUAAAAAUUUGUGUAAAGGGACAAAUUUU
Molecule: non-coding RNA, 117 nt
Filed under: Aggregatibacter actinomycetemcomitans serotype e str. SCC393
Lineage: Bacteria; Pseudomonadati; Pseudomonadota; Gammaproteobacteria; Pasteurellales; Pasteurellaceae
Description: Aggregatibacter sRNA JA02
Rfam family: Aggregatibacter sRNA JA02
Source: Rfam by way of RNAcentral